AGCAGCCGCGGUAAUUCCAGCUCCAAUAGCGUAUAUUAAAGUUGUUGCAGUUAAAAAGCUCGUAGUUGAAUUUUGGAUUCUUCCAAUUGGUCCAUCUUUUAGAUGAGUACUGGUUGUGUGGGGUCUAUCCGCCUGGUGAUACGUAAUGUCCUUUAUUGGAUGUUGCGGGUAGUCAGGACCUUUACCUUGAAAAAAUUAGAGUGUUUAAAGCAGGCUUAUGCCGGAAUACAUUAGCAUGGAAUAAUAGAAUAGGACGAAGUUGUUUUAUUUUGUUGGUUUCUAGGACAACCGUAAUGAUUAAUAGGGAUAGGUUGGGGGCAUUAGUAUUCAAUUGUCAGAGGUGAAAUUCUUGGAUUUAUUGAAGACUAACUACUGCGAAAGCAUUUGCCAAGGAUGUU
This 398-nucleotide ribosomal RNA is filed under the name uncultured Archaeospora. RNAcentral describes it as "SSU rRNA". It matches the Rfam family "Eukaryotic small subunit ribosomal RNA", at positions 569 to 968 of the family's 1831-position model. The record is from RNAcentral. Lineage: Eukaryota; Fungi; Glomeromycota; Glomeromycetes; Archaeosporales; Archaeosporaceae.